This 325-nucleotide long non-coding RNA is filed under the name Pelobates cultripes (western spadefoot toad). The record is from RNAcentral. Lineage: Eukaryota; Metazoa; Chordata; Amphibia; Anura; Pelobatidae.
CUCUAGUGACCGCCUGAGUGACUGUCACUAGCAGUGUCACUUUGAAGCAAUGUAAACACUGCCUUUUGUCUGAAAAGUCAGUGUUUACGUUGAAAAGCCUGUAGGGACAUGCUAUGGACACCAGUACCACCACAUUAAGCUGUGUGUGUGCGUCUGCUAGUGAGUGAGCUUGCUUGCAUGCGUGUGCCUGCUAGUGAGUGAGCUUGUGUUUUUAUGUCAAUGAGCUGAUGUAUAUCAGUAAGAUUGUUUGUCUAUGAGGCUGUGUAUCAAUGAGCUUGUGUGUGUCACUGAAAUGUCAGUGAAAUUGCCUGUGUCUGCAUGUGCG